UCUCUUUACCCUCCUACGGGGAAGCAGCAGUAGGGAAUCUUCCACAAUGGACGCAAGUCUGAUGGAGCAACGCCGCGUGAGUGAAGAAGGUUUUCGGAUCGUAAAGCUCUGUUGUUGGUGAAGAAGGAUAGAGGCAGUAACUGGUCUUUAUUUGACGGUAAUCAACCAGAAAGUCACGGCUAACUACGUGCCAGCAGCCGCGGUAAUACGUAGGUGGCAAGCGUUGUCCGGAUUUAUUGGGCGUAAAGCGAGCGCAGGCGGAAUGAUAAGUCUGAUGUGAAAGCCCACGGCUCAACCGUGGAACUGCAUCGGAAACUGUCAUUCUUGAGUGCAGAAGAGGAGAGUGGAAUUCCAUGUGUAGCGGUGGAAUGCGUAGAUAUAUGGAAGAACACCAGUGGCGAAGGCGGCUCUCUGGUCUGCAACUGACGCUGAGGCUCGAAAGCAUGGGUAGCGAACAGGAUUAGAUACCCUGGUAGUCCAUGCCGUAAACGAUGAGCGCUAGGUGUUGGGGACUUUCCGGUCCUCAGUGCCGCAGCAAACGCAUUAAGCGCUCCGCCUGGGAAGAACCCCCCAAG
Molecule: ribosomal RNA, 575 nt
Filed under: Lactobacillus delbrueckii subsp. bulgaricus
Lineage: Bacteria; Bacillati; Bacillota; Bacilli; Lactobacillales; Lactobacillaceae
Description: bacterial SSU rRNA
Rfam family: Bacterial small subunit ribosomal RNA
Source: RNAcentral